Daphnia magna is the source of this 731-nucleotide long non-coding RNA. RefSeq lists it as uncharacterized. The transcript is spliced from 2 exons. NCBI's taxonomy places the organism in Eukaryota, Metazoa, Arthropoda, Branchiopoda, Diplostraca, Daphniidae. The record is from RefSeq and is a predicted model, not a curated record.
GAGACCGGGGUUAGUUGUCCCAGGGGCAAGUUGACCAAGUGGCAUUAAUUAGUGCCCUCUUCUUUUAAAAAAUCACAAAAAAUUCUGUAGUGUACAGUAUGACCUCAAGGUGUCUUAUGUGUAAUUUGAUGGCCUUCCAUGCAGAACUGUGGAAGCUGCAUACGAAAACGUGUUUUCAUUCGUCAUUUCGAAAAUUGUGAAUUUGCGGCUGCCUCAGGCUUUUUGACAUAAACUUUUUCCUUGGAAAGUUGACGACAGUCUCAUUGUAAUCCUCAGGUGAAAUGAGAACAUAUGUAAAGAAGACUAAUAGGGGUGAAAUUCCUAAAGAUAUUUGGAUGCUGGCCAUCAAAGCUAUAGUAGAGAACGGAAUGAAUAUUUCCCAAGCAGCAAGAGAAUAUAAUGUUCCCCCUAAAAGUCUUGCGAGGAAUGUAAGGAAGUACUGCUCUCACCAGGAUAGUCUUUCUGAAGUACCUGAACAUGAUACUUUUUUCAUAGGGUAUGCCAAACCCAAGCAGGUAAACUAUUCAGCGUGUCACUAAGACCAGUCAAAGUUACGUAAACCGUAACAAAGUGGAUCAAAAAGUAGGAUCAAGCGAAAGCUGAUGGAGGCUGAAAAAGAGAAGAAGAAGAAUGAGAUGAAGAAAAAGAAAGAUGAAAAAAGGUAUCAAGGGGAAGGCCAAGAAAAGCAAUUCGAAAGAAGAAAGCAGUUGCGGCAGCUGAAGAACAAGAUG